GACGAACGCUGGCGGCGUGCCUAAUACAUGAAAGUAGAACGCUGAAGGAGGAGCUUGCUUCUCUGGAUGAGUUGCGAACGGGUGAGUAACGCGUAGGUAACCUGCCUGGUAGUGGGGGAUAACUAUUGGAAACGAUAGCUAAUACCGCAUAAUAGCAGUUGUUGCAUGAUAACUGUUUGAAAGGUGCAAUUGCACCGCUACCAGAUGGACCUGCGUUGUAUUAGCUAGUUGGUGGGGUAACGGCUCACCAAGGCGACGAUACAUAGCCGACCUGAGAGGGUGAUCGGCCACACUGGGACUGAGACACGGCCCAGACUCCUACGGGAGGCAGCAGUAGGGAAUCUUCGGCAAUGGACGGAAGUCUGACCGAGCAACGCCGCGUGAGUGAAGAAGGUUUUCGGAUCGUAAAGCUCUGUUGUAAGAGAAGAACGAGUGUGAGAGUGGAAAGUUCACACUGUGACGGUAUCUUACCAGAAAGGGACGGCUAACUACGUG
RNAcentral lists this ribosomal RNA (495 nucleotides) under uncultured bacterium. RNAcentral's name for it is "partial 16S ribosomal RNA". It matches the Rfam family "Bacterial small subunit ribosomal RNA", at positions 28 to 507 of the family's 1533-position model. The record is from RNAcentral.